GAACUGGGCAUUUAAGCUGAGACGUGAAGACAUUUCUUUAUAGUUUGAGCUCUCAACUGUGGACGUCUUGUUGAGUAUAUUGAAUAACAAAUUUGAUUGGUUUAACAUUCAAAAAUCAAUUAAAGCACAUGGGGUUACUAUGACACCAUUACAUACAACAGUAAAGUAGAAACACAAAGAACUGUAGAUAUUGGAAUCUUGAGCAAAACACAGUGAAUAGAGGAACUCAGUAGGUCAGACAACAUCUGUGGAGGAAAUGGACUGGCGACAGUUCGGGCUGGGACCUUUCUUAAGACUGAUAGGGUCUUGACCCAAAGCUUCGCCUGUCUAUUUCCUCCACAGAUGUUGCGUGACCCGCUGAGUUCCUCCAGCACUUUGUGUCUGGAAUACAAAGUAUAAGCUACAAGGAAAAAAAACAAUACAGCACAGAUGCAGGCCCUUCAGCCCACAAUGUCUGUGCUGAGCAUGAUGCCAAGUUAAACUAAUCUCCUCAGCCUGCACGUGAUCCAUAUCAGUUUUUCAAAUGUAGCUUGUUUUCCCUGGAGCAUCAGAAGUUUAAGGGAGACUCUGAUGAAAAUGUAUAAAAUUAUGAGAGGGUAGAUACCCCAAAUAUUUUACUUGGAGUGAAAAUGUCUAAUACUAGUGGGCAUCAUGUCAUGGUUAGAGGAUUAAAACGUAAAGAUGUGCAGGGCAUGUUUUCCUACAUAGAUAGUGGUAGGUGUCCAAAAUAUGAUGCCUGGGAAGGUGGUGAAUGCAGAUACGAUUGUGAGGUUUAAGAAGCUUUUAGAUAAGCACAUGAAUAUGCAGAGGGAAUGGGGGAGAUAUAGAUCAAAUGGAGGCAGUGGAGAUUAGUUUAACUUGGAACCAUGUUCAGCACAACCAUAAGGCCAGUUCCCUUGCUGUACCGUUUUAUGCUCCAGUAUGCACCUUAAAGGUAAUAACGUUUAGUGCAAGAUAAAGCCCAGUAAAGUCAGAUUAGUCCAAGGGUCCCCAAUGAGAUGGAUGGUAUGUCAGGACCACUCCCUAAUUGGUGAUAGGAUGGUUCAGUUGCCUGAUAACAGCUGGUAAGAAACUGUCCCUGAAUCUGGAGGUAUGCAUUUUCACACUUCUGUAUCUCUUGUCUGAUGGGAGGGUGUGUCUGGGGUGAGACUUGUCAUUAAUUAUGCUGGUGACCUGGCCGAGGCAGCAUGGAAGGGAGGCCGGUUUGUUUGAUGGUCUGGGCUGCAUCCACAAUUCCCUGCAGUCUUAGGUGGAGCUGUUCCCACUGCAUUUCGUUGUCUCUGUAUUGUACACUGACAAUUACAGUUGAAUCUGAAUUUGAAUGAAUCUGAAACCAUGCUGUCAUGCAUCCCAAUUUUUCUUUUUUCGUGUCCAUCAUCUAUGUUUCAAAUGUUCGGCCAGGCUCUUGCACAGCGGACAGCCUUUUCGUUUGCCACCGCUCGAUCUUCCAGGCAGCAUUGUUCACCAAGAAGUGGGCAUCAUAGUAGGUGUAGCAUGGAUUGUACAGAUGUUCCACAUUCACAGUCUGUGUCUGCCGCAUCUGCAUAGCCCCAUUUGUUCAUAUUGGUCUUGCAUCGGCCCAUCCCGGUACAAAGCCUAUUGAUGGACUUCCAGGUCUUCCAGUCACACCUGUGACCAGGUGGUAGCUGUUCCUUGGUUGGGAUAGGCAUCUUUACGUGAUGGUGAUUUUCACUGCGUUUCUUUUCCCACAAGGCUAGUCUGGUUGCUUGAGGAGACUGUGACAGUGGCUGGAUUGUGUGGAGGAAGCUCUUCCUCGACUUCAGCAGAUUUGGGCUGGGUGAUGGGAGUGACAGGAACGCAUCCAAAUAAAAUGCUUUCUACGGCGCAUCUGCAGAAGUUGGUGAGAGUUGUUGAGGACAAGUCGAGCUUCCUAAGCUUUCUAAGGAAGGAGAGGCAUUGGUGUGCUCUCUUGGCCAGGCCCAGGACAAGUUGCUGGUGAUAUUUACUCCUAGGAGAUUGAAACUUUCAACCAUCUUUAAUUUGGCGCGAUCAAUGUAUAUUGGGGUAUGUGUAUUGCUUCACUUCCUGAAGUGAAUCAAAAUCUCCUUUGCCUUGCCAACAUUGAGGGAAAGGUGGUUGUCUUGGCACCAGGUUACAAGGUUCUCAAUCGCCUUCCUGUACUCUGUCUCAUCAUUAUUUGAUAUCCGGCCCACGUUGGAUUUGUAUUUGGCUGCACUGUUGUGAGUGUAUAAAGAGUAAAGAAGGGGCUGAGAACACAUCCUUGCGGUACACCAGUGUUGAGGAUUAUCACAGAGGAUGAUUUGUCAUCUAUCACAACUGAUUGUGGUUUGUUGGCCAGGAAGUCAAGGAUCCAGUUGCGGAGGUGAGUGCUGACACCAUUUCACAAGCUUAGAAAUGAGCUUGGAUGGGAUAAUCGUAUUAAAAGCAGAGAUAUAGUCUAUUAAUAGAAGUCUGACGUAGUUCUCUCUCUUAUCCAGGUGUUCCAGGGAUAAGUGGAUGGCCAGGGCAAUGGCAUCAGCUAUGGACCUGUUGUGGCGGUAGGCAGCCUGCAGUGGUUCAAGGUUGCUUGGUAGACUGGAUUUAAUAUGUUCCAUUACCAGACUCUUAAAGCACUUCACAAUAGUAGAUGUCAAUGCUACUGGACAGUAGUCAUUAAAGCACGAGGUCUUGCUUUUUUUCAGCACCAGGAUGAUAAUGGUCUUCCUGAAGCAGACUCAUUUACACAAUGGUAGAAAUGAGGCCGCUUGAAAGAUGCUGACUCAUGAAUCAAGAAACUCAAUUUCCAGUUGCAGAAGAAUGCAGCGUGUCAUCUCUGAAUAUUAACAUAACGCCAAGGCCACACUCUGUCAAGCUCCACAAUGUAAACCUGACACUGUAAUAAUAAUAGAGACAUGUAAUUCAUGCUAUUUGAAGGUCUCUCCAUGAUAUAUUAAAACAAGCAUACUUUUUUAAAUAUAAUUGAAACCCAAGAGCCUAGGAAUUGCUAUUAUACAUCAAUAAUGUUUGCAAACAGCAAUAUGCGAAUGUCCAAAGAGUUCAGGUUUAAGAAUUUUUGGGUUACGUAAAUGAAAAUGUAUUUUGUUAUAAUAUUUGCUUAAACAUGUUUGAAAAAUGGCUAUAUUUAAUUCUAUGUCCUGUCACGCGUGUGGGAUUUACAUCAGGCAUGACAGGUCAUCAAAUUAUGGUAUUAAUCUGCAAAAAGAAAACUCAUGCAUUCAGGACAAACGCAACCACAGUUUAAUAUUGACCAUGAAAAGCAAAUACACAGUAGAGAUGGUUAAUUGCUGUCUAAAUGUGAUGGGUCUAAAUAAAUUAAGAUAAUAAUAUGAAGUAGAUGAUAACUAAAGAAAAAAUAUUGGAGCCCAAAAUGGGAACUUUCAAUGUGGCAAAUUCAACCCUACAGAGAAUGGGAUCAUUAGGUUUAAAAACCAAGGAAGGCUUAUGGUUACAUUUCUUUCAAAAAUGUGCCUUCUAUUAAAACUUGCCCAUGGCUGGAUGUUUGUAAUUAAUGCAGAUUUCAAUAGUAAUGGUAAUAAUCUAGAUGUCAUGAAUGGAAUCAAAUUAAUUUAUUUGGGAACAUUGUUGUUAAGAUUGAAGAAGAUGUUGACCCCUUGACUUUGAGAAGUGGACUGCAGUGGUGCUCCGGCCUCCUUCCUGCUGCACUGUCUCCCCGAGUACACAACGCCAGAAGGUUAAUUGGAAAUUUAUGUAAUCUCUUCUGAAAUUAAUUCUGAAAUUAAACCUGUAAAUUCAUUGAUUUAAUUCAGAUCGCAAUUGGAAGCGUCGCUUUAAAGAGGCCCUUCCUCAACUUAGAAGAAACCUAUUCAGGCCGAUGCAGCAACUUUGAAUACAUAGGCAAGGUUUUUACACAUGGUAUAUUUGAGCAAUGUGUGUAAACAGUAUUAAAUGUUUGUAUAGCCUCCGAAAGUGUCGGAUGAAUGUUUUGCAUGAUUCAUGUAUUGUAUAUAUUUAUUACUUGAAUAAAGUCUAUUUUGAAAUUAAAAAAAGGUCCGCUGCUGGACAUAGGUGGGCAGGGUGUGGUGGAGACGCCCCUCAAAAAUAAGGGAAGGGAUUCCACGCCAGUGGGCCACAUGAAUGACAAGUGUGGGGAUACAUUUGUGUAAUUUGAGCAAUGUGUGUAAACAGCAUUGAAUGUUUGUAUAGCC
This is a long non-coding RNA of Leucoraja erinaceus (little skate), 4148 nucleotides long. RefSeq lists it as uncharacterized. The transcript is spliced from 2 exons. NCBI's taxonomy places the organism in Eukaryota, Metazoa, Chordata, Chondrichthyes, Rajiformes, Rajidae. The record is from RefSeq and is a predicted model, not a curated record.